GAUGAAGAACGUAGCGAAAUGCGAUAAGUAAUGUGAAUUGCAGAAUUCAGUGAAUCAUCGAAUCUUUGAACGCACAUUGCGCCCGCCAGUAUUCUGGCGAGCAUGCCUGUUCGAGCGUCAUUUCAACCAUCAAGCCCCAGGCUUGUGUUGGAGCCCUGCGGCUGCCACAGCCUCCCAAAACCAGUGGCGGGCUCGCUAUCACACCGAGUGCAGUAGUUUACUCUUCGCUCAGGGCGUGUGGCGGGUGCUAGCCGUGAAACCCCCAACUUCUCAAGGUUGACCUCGGAUCAGGUAGGAAUACCCGCUGAACUUAAGCAUAUCAAUAAGCGGAGGA
RNAcentral lists this unclassified non-coding RNA (334 nucleotides) under soil metagenome. Its description in RNAcentral is "partial contains 5.8S ribosomal RNA, internal transcribed spacer 2, and large subunit ribosomal RNA". The stretch from base 1 to 120 matches the Rfam family "5.8S ribosomal RNA", at positions 35 to 154 of the family's 154-position model. The record is from RNAcentral.